UAACUGUUAAGUCUGACGAAGGUGCACUGACAUUUAGAGGUCCCCACCUGAACACCCAUUUAUAAUAACAACCUUUAAGUACAUGUCUGACAACGCCGUCCCACAAUCCUUCACUCUGCCUUCUGCAGCCGUGUGCUUCUGCGUGUCAGGAAACACCUCAGCAGUUCUCCGCCCGACCUUCAACUUUCAUCCCAAAGGAACCCUGGGUAGUUCACUGUCAGGGAGAAGAAAAAUAGACAGAGAAACCGAACCUGUCAGAUGUUUGUGGAUGUUGGAGCUUCUACAGGAGGUCAGAAGACAAACCUGCAUGCUGAACUGAGACACAAUAUGGAUUACAGAUCCAAAUGACUUGAAAAAAGUGAUGACUUGUUAAAACAGACAAAUUGUUAUUUAUUAAAAAUACAAAAAAUAAUAAGAUUCUU
This is a long non-coding RNA of Oryzias melastigma (Indian medaka), 422 nucleotides long. RefSeq lists it as uncharacterized. The record is from RefSeq and is a predicted model, not a curated record. The transcript is spliced from 3 exons. NCBI's taxonomy places the organism in Eukaryota, Metazoa, Chordata, Actinopteri, Beloniformes, Adrianichthyidae.